This 253-nucleotide ribosomal RNA is filed under the name uncultured bacterium. RNAcentral describes it as "partial 16S ribosomal RNA". It matches the Rfam family "Bacterial small subunit ribosomal RNA", at positions 526 to 779 of the family's 1533-position model. The record is from RNAcentral.
CGGAGGAUCCAAGCGUUAUCCGGAUUUAUUGGGUUUAAAGGGUGCGUAGGCGGCUUAGUAAGUCAGGGGUGAAAGACGGUGGCUCAACCAUCGCAGUGCCUUUGAUACUGCUGAGCUAGAAUGUAGAUGAAGUAGGCGGAAUGUGACAAGUAGCGGUGAAAUGCAUAGAUAUGUCACAGAACACCAAUUGCGAAGGCAGCUUACUAAGGUACAAUUGACGCUGAUGCACGAAAGCGUGGGAUCAAACAGGAUU